This 249-nucleotide ribosomal RNA is filed under the name uncultured bacterium. Its description in RNAcentral is "partial 16S ribosomal RNA". It matches the Rfam family "Bacterial small subunit ribosomal RNA", at positions 524 to 776 of the family's 1533-position model. The record is from RNAcentral.
UACGGGGGAGCAAGCGUUGUUCGGAUUUACUGGGCGUAAAGGGCGCGUAGGCGGCGCGGUAAGUCGGGUGUGAAUCUCGGAGCUUAACUCCGAAACUGCAUUCGAUACUGCCGUGCUUGAGGACUGGAGAGGAGACUGGAAUUUACGGUGUAGCGGUGAAAUGCGUAGAUAUCGUAAGGAAGACCAGUGGCGAAGGCGGUCUCUGGACAGUUCCUGACGCUGAGGCACGAAGGUCAGGGAGCAAACGGG